UACGUAGGGUGCAAGCGUUGUCCGGAAUUAUUGGGCGUAAAGAGCUCGUAGGCGGUUUGUCGCGUCUGCUGUGAAAACUCGGGACUUAACUCCGGGCCUGCAGUGGGUACGGGCAGACUAGAGUGCGGUAGGGGAGACUGGAAUUCCUGGUGUAGCGGUGGAAUGCGCAGAUAUCAGGAGGAACACCAGUGGCGAAGGCGAGUCCCUGGACAAAACCUGACACUGAGGCACGAAAGCUAGGGGAGCAAACAGG
RNAcentral lists this ribosomal RNA (253 nucleotides) under uncultured bacterium. RNAcentral describes it as "partial 16S ribosomal RNA". It matches the Rfam family "Bacterial small subunit ribosomal RNA", at positions 524 to 776 of the family's 1533-position model. The record is from RNAcentral.